CUUAAUUCCAACGGGUUUCUAACGUAUUAAUUUAUUAUUUCCAUUAAAACAAGUCACAGUGUAUAAAUAAUUUCCAGUAAACUAUUUCGGAGACAUAAAUCGGUCUCGUUGAUCUAGGGUGAAACACUGUUUUAUUUAACAAAUCAUACGUCAUCAUACAAUCGUGUUCAAGAAACAAAUUUUAAUUUUUUGACCUGCGGUCUUAGUGGCUUGGUAUAACGUGGACUUAUAUGUGCAUUGUUGUCUCCCAGUGAGAGAUUACAACAGUUAGUGCAAGUCAGCCUACUCGUCAACAGAAAUCUGGAAUUCUAACUAAACCUUAUAAUCUGAGUCUCCCAAGAAGGAACCUAAAGGUCCAGCUUGGCACUACUCUGAAUGGUGAGAGGUUACAAAAGUUUGUGUCUACUCGUCAACAGAAUCUGGAAUUCUCACUAAACCUUAAAAUCUGAGUCUCCGAAGAAAGAACCUAAAGGCCCAGCUUGGCACCACUCCGAAUGGGACUUACCUGCUUCAUGUCACCUCAAUGGUUCUCAUCAAACUUAAUGAAGAACGCCGAGUAUACGGCAGUCCAGAGCUCCAAGGAGAAACAGAUGGACGCAAGACUACCAUACCUAUUGGAGGCUAAACACCAAUAUUUACACUGAAUGUCUGUCCAUCAACGAUGCUUUCAGUCGUAGUAUUGCAAAUCGUCAAUUUCUCCCUUGUA
Molecule: long non-coding RNA, 706 nt
Organism: Homalodisca vitripennis (glassy-winged sharpshooter)
Lineage: Eukaryota; Metazoa; Arthropoda; Insecta; Hemiptera; Cicadellidae
Exons: 3
Source: RefSeq, a predicted model, not a curated record